GCGUGCUUUCCAGGUCUCCCUUUCUGGAAAUCAUGCCAUCCCUUAGAUAUAUUUGAGUUUUAUUCAAACUAGCAUAGCAUCUCAAAUAGCUCCUCAUAGCAAAGUCAUGCUCCCAGACAGGCGUGCACUGUUGACCACAAAAGCUGUCUCCAAAGCUCCUUUUGUCUAGAAGUCCAUCUCUCCUUUCCCAUGUGACAUUGUGCUCACUUAUUGCAUUAGCUAUUUGGCGUAGCAUUCCACUCCAGACUUCUUCUUUCUCCUCUUCCGGUUUCUUAUCUUUUGUUCGAGAGAGCCAUUCUCUUCUUGAUCUGCCUCAUGAAAUGGUCGAUCAAAUUCCUCCAAAGUUCCAGCAAUUCCUUUUGAUGUAAUUGCCUGCCUUGAAAUGAUCUUUGUACAUAUGCCAAAGCCAACCUUUAAUGUCCUCCCAGUGGAUUUAAUGCAAGGCAUUAAUACCACCACUUGAGAUUCUACUAUAACAUAAGGCUUUAGCAUCGAUGAGAUACCUGCAAAAAAGUAAACAAUGUUAGCUGAAAAAUUGCUAACCAAUCUCUCCUCAAGAAUGAUUCGAGUCCGAUAGCAAAUUGUAGCCUCUUUUCCUCCUAAUUGCUUGCAACCUUCACUCUUAUGUAAGGACAUUGCAUCUUGUCUUCUUAAUAAUCCUCCUUCCUUUUGAGUCCAUAUCCCAGAAGCCAUGACAUUCAAUAUUUCCUUCAUCUAGAGCAUAGUUGGCAAGGUGGUCUGCUAAUGUAUUCCCUUCUCUGAGUAUGUGUGUGACCUUGAUGAUACUUUAUUCCUUCAAUCUUAAAAUCUCCUCAACGUGAUCAGUAAUACGCCAAGGAGGUUUCCAUGAUUCCUCUAUAAUGUUCUUUAAUAGCAAGGAAUCUGUCUGCAGCCAUAUCUGAAAAUAAUUAAGAUUUUUGCACAUCUUCAAUGCCUCCACAAUAGCUACUGCUUCUGAUUCAUUAUUGGUUCCUUCAGAAAUCUCCCUUCCUUCUGCAUAUAUCAAAUCACCUACCUCAUCCCUUAUGCAAAAACCAAUUGAACUCCUCUCUGGGUUCCUUCUAAUAACCAAUUGAAAUGCUCCAUCCGUAUUUACUUUGAUCCACCCUCUUGGAGGAAAUUCCCAUAACACAUUUUCAUAUUUCAAUCGAGGUGUGUAUUACUCCAUUAUUGUCAGUAAGUCCAGUCACUUGUGAGGCACAUGCAGUCCAGGCUUUUUUAGUUGGACUAGACCUUGCAGAGUAGAUGACACCUGGUAAAUAACUCUGCUCACUGACACUGCUUCUCCAUAUUUCAAACUGUUUCUUCUCUUCCAAAGUUCACAUACAAUGCAUGCAGGUAAAGCUUGUAAGACUGGCUUCAAUCUGGGAACAACUGGUGCUGUCCAACACUUUGUAAUUGCUUGUUGUAAAGAUAACCCUUCUAAUGCAAUUCCUGCUCUCCUCAGGAAGUAAUUCCAAACACUCCUAGCUGCAUUGGAUGUGAAGAACAAAUGUACUAAUGACUCCUCCUUAGGAUCAGCACAGCACCAACAUUUUGAUGGCAUGGAGUAUCCUAUUUUACGCAAGAAAUCAUCAAGUGGCAGUUCGGCUUUCCACACCUUCCACAGGAAGAAGGAUAUCUUGAAAGGUAAGGCUUUGACCCAUAUCAUCCUGUAGCCUAAUCUUGGGCUGUCUCUUCUUCGCAGGUAAUCCCAUGUGUGAGCACGUGAUUUUUGCCCUAUGUGAGAAUUACUCCCAAAAAUUCAAAAUAAAACAAUUUUCCUUUGUGUGCAAUUUUGAGAAUUUUCGUGGCAUUUUUGGAUAAUUAUUUGUAUUUGUCCGUGCAUGUUUAUUUGUUAAAUUAUUAAAAA
This 1852-nucleotide long non-coding RNA is filed under the name Nicotiana tabacum (common tobacco). Its description in RNAcentral is "long non-coding RNA (NTAB_LNC006982)". The record is from RNAcentral. Lineage: Eukaryota; Viridiplantae; Streptophyta; Magnoliopsida; Solanales; Solanaceae.